UGAGGUUUUCCUGUCAACUUAUUUUAUUUAAAAUUCUAAUAUAGAAGAAAAAAGAAUUUAACAAUAGACACGCUAAGGCAAGUGGUUAUGUCUUAUUAUACAGCAACAUUAUUGUAUAUACAUGUAGUUUCUCUGGGUUAAAAGCCUCAGCAGGAUUUACAAGCACAAGUAACAAUGGAAUAAACAGACAAAUGGAAACACAAUCUAUGUUAUACACAGAAUCUUAAAAAUCCUUAAUGUUACAAACAGAAUAGGGCAAUGAAUGGAUGAUUUAAUCCAGUGACCAAAAAGUUUGUAUUUAUCAUCAAAUCUAUAUUUUUGUACAAAUUGAAACAAAGAUGAUUUUCCACUGCCCCCAAAUAAAUUGUUCCCACCUUUAAAAUUUAUUAAUUCAACAAACAUUUGUUAGGCACCUACUAUAGGGAAAGCCCUGUACCAGGUGCUAGAGAAAAUACAAAAUUUAGACAAUUAAAAUGCUUAUAACCACUGGGAACUGAGGAUGAGCAUGAUUUAACUGCAGUGAAAGUGGAUGGUUUUCGCAUAAUUCAAGAUAUGUAGGUAUAACUUGUUUCUGAGGCAACAAUAGUAGCACAACAUAACCUUUUCACACCUCCCCCAUUAACUAGUUGUGUGAUCUUGUUUGAUUACAUGAGGUCAAAGGCCUCUUCCAACCCUGAAAUUCUAGGACAUGUGGUUACCUGAGAUUUUCAGCAAAAAGAAAAAAAAAAAAAUUUAUAUAUAUAUAUAUAUAUUCACUGAAGUAACUAACUGAAUAAAUAAGCUAAUAUUAUCUCAUCCACUGCUUGCCCCUAAUGUUGUGUAACCACUUCCAGGUGUCAUGGGUCAAUGACUUAAUUAUUUAAAAUUAAAAAAAAAAUCAUGUCGCUUCUAUAUAUCAGGAUAUAUGUAUUAUUUUAGAUUUGUGUUUUCAUUUAUGUAGCCUAGGUUCUCAAAUUUUGUUUGCUUGCUGCUCAUGAUGGAACACAAAAAUGUAACCACUAUUUAGCCCAUAGGCUUUGCAAACUAAUCCUCAAAGAGGAUGUUGCAUGAAGUCCAUGGGAAUGUUUAUAUGAAAGCCUUAUACAAAGGUUUAUACACUUUCUCCUUGUUUUGAUUCAUAAGGUAAAAUUCAAAUAGAAAUUUUAAGGAUGCAGACUAGUUUAAUCUAAGAAUUCUGAUCACUUGAGUUGUUCAACAAUGACAAACUGUUUCAGUAAAGUGAUGACCAUUGGCCAGGGUUAUGAUAGAGGGAAUUUUGUUCCACUAUGUGGAAGAUUAAUUCCCUUUAAGAUUCCUGCCAACUAAAAAUUCUGAUUUCUAAUUCAGUGGAUAGUCUGUUCCCUCAGUUAAUGAUAUAGUGUUGUUGAUGACAUUAUGAGUAAUCGAGACUGGCCUUGCUAACCAGUUGUCCAGGAAGAGGAUUGGGAUGCUGCUUGGUCCUUAUUCAUAUCUGUCUAAAGCAUCUUAUCUGUUUCACUUGGCAGCCUGGGGAAUGGAUCCUUUCUAGCCAGCUCCUGCUCAGAGAGGCUGUGCUGUAAUGAGAAAGAAGUUUAUUUGGAAUUGGAUAUCCGGGGUUUGCUUCCUAUUAUACAACACUUUGGUAAAGCUCCCUCAAUAGAAUUUAGUCUUUUCAUCUGUAAAAUAAGGAGAGAAAGAGUCACUAGCUUCCCGGGUUGUUGUGAAGAUCAAAUGAGAUAAUUGUAAAGCUUUUAGUACCAUGACUGGUAUACCUCCCACCCCCCAUCCUAUGGGAAGGUGAAACUAAAGAGGGCAUGCCAUGUACAUGUCCUCACAUAAUCUGACUUAAGUAAGGCUAAGGUGGACCAUUUAAUGCUGAAAGUACAAAGCUGUACUUUUAAAUUGUGCUACAGAUGAAUGCCCUAGAAGCAUGUAAAGUCAUACAAUAAAUUAAAAUGCAUUCGAUCAGAAUGCUGUACAAGAUGAUGUAAACAGUGGGAUGCAGAGGUUAGUUCACCUGGGCCAGGUACAUACAGAGUCUAUAUUAUGAAGGGGCAGAGUGAAGCCACAGUGAUAGGGAGUCCUUGUAGUCUAUAAGGUAACAACCUGCUUUACUGCUAUUUGUCUUGGGGAGCCGCCUUCUUCAUGCAACCUUGUAAGAAAGACUGAGAGCUGCAGGGGCUAUUUAUUCCAGGUAUUGACAAAGAGAGACUUAUGUGCCAAGAAGAGACCCGCGAUUUGAAGGCUCCCAGAUCUGUUUGCCAGAGGCCAGAACUCCCUAGGAGCCUUUUCAUCUCCUUCAAAAGAACUGUGUUUAUAUGAAGGAAGUCUGUCACUUAAGAGGCAGGGAACACACAGGAAGAUUAGGGCUUUGCAGGAUCUCAGAGAUCAUUUCGUUUUCUCUAGACUUUCCUUUUCUCACUGCUAUCCUGUCCAUUCCUGCCCCACUCCCUCAUCUAAGGAAAACACACGCGCGCACGCACACACACACACACACACAACCAAAAACUGAAGCCCUAGCAAUUUAAGUGAUUUAGUCAAGAUCACACAGCUAGUUAGCUAAAGGCAGAGAUGAGAACCCAACUUUCCUUAACUCCUGGCCCAUUCUUCUUUCAGUUACACUGCAUUGGGGAUUCAUUUUUGAUUCUACCGAAUUGAAGCAAUCUAAGGACCUUUCAAAAGCUGCACAGAGAUGGCCACAUUUUCCAUAAGAAGGGCAAGUGACUGGUGGUAUGACUAGUUAAGUCACUUCCCAUAUCUUUCCUUUAGUUUUCUCUUCUGUUAAGAUUAGAUUUCACUUACUGAUCUCCAACCUCAAUAUUCCAAUUAAUCCCAAAGCUCUGUUAGCUCACCCUUCUCAAGCCUUUAAAACAAAGAAAAGGUUUUUUAUAAUUCAUAGUAUAUA
This 2863-nucleotide long non-coding RNA is filed under the name Sarcophilus harrisii (Tasmanian devil). RNAcentral describes it as "lncRNA (ENSSHAG00000026279.1)". The record is from RNAcentral. Lineage: Eukaryota; Metazoa; Chordata; Mammalia; Dasyuromorphia; Dasyuridae.